Molecule: ribosomal RNA, 468 nt
Filed under: uncultured bacterium
Lineage: Bacteria
Description: partial 16S ribosomal RNA
Rfam family: Bacterial small subunit ribosomal RNA
Source: RNAcentral
GACGAACGCUGGCGGCGUGCUUAACACAUGCCAGUCGAACGGAAAGGCCCUGCUUUUGUGGGGUGCUCGAGUGGCGAACGGGUGAGUAACACGUGAGUAACCUGCCCUUGACUUUGGGAUAACUUCAGGAAACUGGGGCUAAUACCGGAUAGGAGCUCCUGCUGCAUGGUGGGGGUUGGAAAGUUUCGGCGGUUGGGGAUGGACUCGCGGCUUAUCAGCUUGUUGGUGGGGUAGUGACUUACCAAGGCUUUGACGGGUAGCCGGCCUGAGAGGGUGACCGGCCACAUUGGGGCUGAGAUACGGCCCAGACUCCUACGGGAGGCAGCAGUGGGGAAUAUUGCACAAUGGGCGGAAGCCUGAUGCAGCAACGCCGCGUGCGGGAUGACGGCCUUCGGGUUGUAAACCGCUUUCGCCUGUGACGAAGCGUGAGUGACGGUAAUGGGUAAAGAAGCACCGGCUAACUACGUG